CUCCCGUGUAGUGAUGACGUG
RNAcentral lists this non-coding RNA (21 nucleotides) under Arabidopsis thaliana (thale cress). The record is from RNAcentral. Lineage: Eukaryota; Viridiplantae; Streptophyta; Magnoliopsida; Brassicales; Brassicaceae.